AGCCAUUAGACGAUAUUUAUGGUUAAACCUGCCCAAUGUUAGUAAUAAUGAAUGGCCGCGGUACCCUGACCGUGCUAAGGUAGCGUAAUCAGUUGGCUUUUAAAUGGAGUCAGGAAUGAAUGGGAAAACCGGGUUUAGCUGUCUCCCAACUAUUUUCUUGAAUUUACUGUUUAAGUGAAAAAGCUUAAAAAUGAUAAAGGGACGAGAAGACCCUUAGAAUUUUUUUUAAAAUGGAAAUUUUUCUAUAAUAAUUUUGUUGGGGCGACAGAGAAAUAUUUAAAACUUUCUUUAAAUUUACAUGCCGAUAUUGUUAAGUAAGAAUAAAUUACCUGAGGGAUAACAGCAUAAUUCUAUAGUUGAGUUUGUGACCUCGAUGUUGGACUAGGAAACUAACAGGCUAGCCGUUUGUUGUGUGGGUUCUGUUCGAACUCUAAUUCCUA
Molecule: ribosomal RNA, 440 nt
Filed under: Coryphella verrucosa
Lineage: Eukaryota; Metazoa; Mollusca; Gastropoda; Nudibranchia; Coryphellidae
Description: partial 16S ribosomal RNA
Rfam family: Bacterial large subunit ribosomal RNA
Source: RNAcentral